CCGGGGGAACUGAAACAUCUAAGUACCCCGAGGAAAAGAAAUCAACCGAGAUUCCCCCAGUAGCGGCGAGCGAACGGGGAGGAGCCCAGAGCCUGAAUCAGUGUGUGUGUUAGUGGAAGCGUCUGGAAAGGCGCGCGAUACAGGGUGACAGCCCCGUACACAAAAAUGCACAUACUGUGAGCUCGAUGAGUAGGGCGGGACACGUGGUAUCCUGUCUGAAUAUGGGGGGACCAUCCUCCAAGGCUAAAUACUCCUGACUGACCGAUAGUGAACCAGUACCGUGAGGGAAAGGCGAAAAGAACCCCGGCGAGGGGAGUGAAAAAGAACCUGAAACCGUGUACGUACAAGCAGUGGGAGCCUCUUAAUGGGGUGACUGCGUACCUUUUGUAUAAUGGGUCAGCGACUUAUAUUCUGUAGCAAGGUUAACCGAAUAGGGGAGCCGAAGGGAAACCGAGUCUUAACUGGGCGUUAAGUUGCAGGGUAUAGACCCGAAACCCGGUGAUCUAGCCAUGGGCAGGUUGAAGGUUGGGUAACACUAACUGGAGGACCGAACCGACUAAUGUUGAAAAAUUAGCGGAUGACUUGUGGCUGGGGGUGAAAGGCCAAUCAAACCGGGAGAUAGCUGGUUCUCCCCGAAAGCUAUUUAGGUAGCGCCUCGUGAAUUCAUCUCCGGGGGUAGAGCACUGUUUCGGCAAGGGGGUCAUCCCGACUUACCAACCCGAUGCAAACUGCGAAUACCGGAGAAUGUUAUCACGGGAGACACACGGCGGGUGCUAACGUCCGUCGUGAAGAGGGAAACAACCCAGACCGCCAGCUAAGGUCCCAAAGUCAUGGUUAAGUGGGAAACGAUGUGGGAAGGCCCAGACAGCCAGGAUGUUGGCUUAGAAGCAGCCAUCAUUUAAAGAAAGCGUAAUAGCUCACUGGUCGAGUCGGCCUGCGCGGAAGAUGUAACGGGGCUAAACCAUGCACCGAAGCUGCGGCAGCGACACUAUGUGUUGUUGGGUAGGGGAGCGUUCUGUAAGCCUGUGAAGGUGUACUGUGAGGUAUGCUGGAGGUAUCAGAAGUGCGAAUGCUGACAUAAGUAACGAUAAAGCGGGUGAAAAGCCCGCUCGCCGGAAGACCAAGGGUUCCUGUCCAACGUUAAUCGGGGCAGGGUGAGUCGACCCCUAAGGCGAGGCCGAAAGGCGUAGUCGAUGGGAAACAGGUUAAUAUUCCUGUACUUGGUGUUACUGCGAAGGGGGGACGGAGAAGGCUAUGUUGGCCGGGCGACGGUUGUCCCGGUUUAAGCGUGUAGGCUGGUUUUC
This 1304-nucleotide ribosomal RNA is filed under the name Escherichia coli. RNAcentral describes it as "partial 23S ribosomal RNA". It matches the Rfam family "Bacterial large subunit ribosomal RNA", at positions 184 to 1533 of the family's 2925-position model. The record is from RNAcentral. Lineage: Bacteria; Pseudomonadati; Pseudomonadota; Gammaproteobacteria; Enterobacterales; Enterobacteriaceae.